This 84-nucleotide transfer RNA is filed under the name Leadbetterella sp. Its description in RNAcentral is "tRNA-Leu". It matches the Rfam family "tRNA". Rfam says of the family: Transfer RNA (tRNA) molecules are approximately 80 nucleotides in length. Their secondary structure includes four short double-helical elements and three loops (D, anti-codon, and T loops). The record is from RNAcentral. RNAcentral also lists the same sequence under 2 other names. Lineage: Bacteria; Pseudomonadati; Bacteroidota; Cytophagia; Cytophagales; Leadbetterellaceae.
GGGGAUAUGGUGAAAUUGGUAUACACGCAUGCUUCAGGUGCAUGUGGCAGUAAUGUCGUGAGAGUUCGAGUCUCUCUAUCCCCA